CCCCUUUUCGAAAGGUGUCAUCUAAACCCAGUGGUCUAAUACUUUUGUUAGAUACUUACUUUUGUACUUUAAAAAAAAAAGUACUGAAAUGAGAUUAAGAUAAGGUUCAUGGCUGCAAUGGUAAAUUGCGCUUUCAGUGGAAGCCAUUUCUAGUUUAGUUAUUAUUUGACCCAGUGCGCAUGCGCUCACGUCAAAUUGAGAAGGCAUGCACCUGCUUGUUAGUCAUUAGGGGACUGAUUACAAAUACCUUAAAUUGUAGUUUCGCUUCAGCGACUGUUGUAUACUCUCUGCCCUAUCCGUCAUGAAAGCGCCUGGUCUUAAAAGCAAGCGGUGCACUGCAUCUAGAAGCUCCAUAUCAAGAACCAGAGGACACGCUGCGUUCAUGUACACGGCCCGACAACAGUCAGCAGUAAGAAGCGUCCAUGAGUCCAGGGGCGUAAGCAGAUAUUUGCUGCAGAGAGUGGGGUCAGAGGCCGCGCGUCUCUCCUGUUUCAGCCGCCACAGAAUCGUCACGCGGAGGGAGAUUCUGGAGGCCUGGAAUCAACUGAGACGCCGCAGAAAUCCCGCUGCGCUGGCUGGCGCCUGAACCUUGAAACUUUUUAGUUUAAGCUUUUAAUGUAUAUAACAAUUUUAGCUGAUUUUGUAAAUAUUUAUUUGUUGAAAUAAUAAAAUCAUUUUGCUUAA
Megalobrama amblycephala (Wuchang bream) is the source of this 684-nucleotide long non-coding RNA. RefSeq lists it as uncharacterized. The transcript is spliced from 2 exons. The record is from RefSeq and is a predicted model, not a curated record. NCBI's taxonomy places the organism in Eukaryota, Metazoa, Chordata, Actinopteri, Cypriniformes, Xenocyprididae.